GACGAACGCUGGCGGCGUGCCUAAUACAUGCAAGUUGAGCGCUGAAGGUUGGUACUUGUACCAACUGGAUGAGCAGCGAACGGGUGAGUAACGCGUGGGGAAUCUGCCUUUGAGCGGGGGACAACAUUUGGAAACGAAUGCUAAUACCGCAUAAAAACUUUAAACACAAGUUUUAAGUUUGAAAGAUGCAAUUGCAUCACUCAAAGAUGAUCCCGCGUUGUAUUAGCUAGUUGGUGAGGUAAAGGCUCACCAAGGCGAUGAUACAUAGCCGACCUGAGAGGGUGAUCGGCCACAUUGGGACUGAGACACGGCCCAAACUCCUACGGGAGGCAGCAGUAGGGAAUCUUCGGCAAUAGACGAAAGUCUGACCGAGCAACGCCGCGUGAGUGAAGAAGGUUUUCGGAACGUAAAACUCUGUUGGUAGAGAAGAACGUUGGUGAGAGUGGAAAGCUCAUCAAGUGACGGUAACUACCCAGAAAGGGACGGCUAACUACGUG
RNAcentral lists this ribosomal RNA (497 nucleotides) under uncultured bacterium. RNAcentral's name for it is "partial 16S ribosomal RNA". It matches the Rfam family "Bacterial small subunit ribosomal RNA", at positions 28 to 507 of the family's 1533-position model. The record is from RNAcentral.